GACGAACGCUGGCGGCGUGCUUAACACAUGCAAGUCGAACGGAAAGGCUCUGCUUUUGUGGGGUGCUCGAGUGGCGAACGGGUGAGUAACACGUGAGUAACCUGCCCUUGACUUUGGGAUAACUUCAGGAAACUGGGGCUAAUACCGGAUAGGAGCUCCUGCUGCAUGGUGGGGGUUGGAAAGUUUCGGCGGUUGGGGAUGGACUCGCGGCUUAUCAGCUUGUUGGUGGGGUAGUGGCUUACCAAGGCUUUGACGGGUAGCCGGCCUGAGAGGGUGACCGGCCACAUUGGGACUGAGAUACGGCCCAGACUCCUACGGGAGGCAGCAGUGGGGAAUAUUGCACAAUGGGCGGAAGCCUGAUGCAGCAACGCCGCGUGCGGGAUGACGGCCUUCGGGUUGUAAACCGCUUUCGCCUGUGACGAAGCGUGAGUGACGGUAAUGUGUAAAGAAGCACCGGCUAACUACGUG
RNAcentral lists this ribosomal RNA (468 nucleotides) under uncultured bacterium. RNAcentral describes it as "partial 16S ribosomal RNA". It matches the Rfam family "Bacterial small subunit ribosomal RNA", at positions 28 to 507 of the family's 1533-position model. The record is from RNAcentral.